Molecule: long non-coding RNA, 851 nt
Organism: Sceloporus undulatus (fence lizard)
Lineage: Eukaryota; Metazoa; Chordata; Lepidosauria; Squamata; Phrynosomatidae
Exons: 3
Source: RefSeq, a predicted model, not a curated record
UCCUGCUAAAAAGAAAAAUGUCAGAACAUUCUAUGAAUAUGUUUGGGGAUUUAUUCAAGAACAGACUCACACUUGUCAAACUCAGCAAAUGAAGCAUAUUAAAUCAAAAACUUCAAAACCAAACAAAUUUGCCUGUAAAAUCAGAGGCCUAAAUCCAAUUGUUUGUCCCAACUAGAGGAAACUGAUUGAAUCAACUAGUGAAUGAAAUGUGUUGGGGAAAUGAGUUGGCUUUGGAUUCUCCACUGCUCUAUUUUCACCCCCAAUGACAGAGAAGUUCCACCAUUCUGGUAACCCAGCAGGCACAUGUACAUGAAGAGCGCAACAACAUAUUCUGCCUCACCAAGAUUCUGAAAAGUUUCAAAUCAAGGAUACAUUUGUUUUAAACAUCUGAUCAAAGGAAAUUUGUAUUACAUUCUGGAGAAAAAACCACAAGAACGCAAGAAUGAAAUGAGCAGCCUGCCUUGCUUUCUCUGCACUCCACCCACCCAACGCAAUUUCAAAACAGGUUUCACUAAUCUGAAAACAUAAAAUUAAAAUACUCCUGAAACCUGGGUAUUCUCAUUUACUUUUACCUCAAUGCACUAGUAUAAUGUGUCUCUUUGUUUAAUAUAAAUGGGUGGCCACAUACACCACCUCCUCUGUAGUUUAAUUAACUCCUUAAAAGCAGUUUAAGGAACAAUCUUUCAGCUCACAGUACAAAAAAUAAUAAGUGGCAAGUACCCUGAUUCAGACAUUCGCUUAAAACCAAUGAUCUCCCCCUUAAAAGAGCCUGAGAAAAUUACUUCAGAUUUUAUUGUCAGAACAGUCCAAAAGAAGUAUACAGUUGCCCCCCUGUUUGUAUGGAUUUCAUA